GUAAGAGCUGCUUGACUGGACGUUACCCACAGAAGAAGCACCGGCUAACUCCGUGCCAGCAGCCGCGGUAAUACGGAGGGUGCGAGCGUUAAUCGGAAUUACUGGGCGUAAAGGGUGCGUAGGUGGUGUGAUAAGUUAGCUGUGAAAUCCCUGGGCUUAACCUGGGAAGGUCAGCUAAGACUGUUAUACUCGAGUAUGGGAGAGGGUAGUGGAAUUUCCGGUGUAGCGGUGAAGUGCGUAGAGAUCGGAAGGAACACCAGUGGCGAAGGCGGCUACCUGGCCUAAUACUGACACUGAGGCACGAAAGCGUGGGGAGCAAACAGGAUUAGAUACCCUGGUAGUCCACGCUGUAAACGAUGUCAACUAGCUGUUGGCCUUAUGAAUGAGGUUAGUGGCGCAGCAAACGCGAUAAGUUGACAUCGU
RNAcentral lists this ribosomal RNA (423 nucleotides) under uncultured Legionella sp. Its description in RNAcentral is "bacterial SSU rRNA". It matches the Rfam family "Bacterial small subunit ribosomal RNA", at positions 443 to 872 of the family's 1533-position model. The record is from RNAcentral. Lineage: Bacteria; Pseudomonadati; Pseudomonadota; Gammaproteobacteria; Legionellales; Legionellaceae.